CCCACCCAGAAAAAAAAAGGGAAGAAGACUCCUGAUCGGAGUCUUCCCCUUCUCCGAUUUCGAUCAGGAAUUGGAGUCCUAGGGCCAUUAAAAGACCUUAGGACGAGCCCUAUAAGAACCCCCCACCUCUCCUCUAAGAGAGGACACAAUAGUCACCGACGAUCACCGGAGUUCUUCUCCGAUUUUCCCGAUUGAAGCCGCGGCCCCUCGACUCGUGCUCGCCGUGAUUUCACGCCGGUGGGGGUCAUCGGAGGCCGUGGUAAGUCCUUCCUCCUCUUCCUCUCUUCUCUCCCUUCUUUCCCAUGUCUGUGGACAUGACCGCCGGCGACAGGAGCCGUCGGAUUUCGUCGAAGAAGAAAGCCCUGUUCUUCUCUCCCUUUUUUUGAUUUUUUUUAUGGCACCGACGGUCACCGCCGACCGCCGGCUUUGGCCUCCGAGCACGGGAGGGUCGCCUCUUGCCGCCAGCCACCGUCGGGCGGGGAAUGGCCGUGAUCGGCCGAUCAAAGGCAUGGGGACCUCUAGGUCCCCUGUUUCGAUCAAAGAAGGCCAC
RNAcentral lists this long non-coding RNA (550 nucleotides) under Elaeis guineensis (African oil palm). RNAcentral's name for it is "long non-coding RNA (EGUI_LNC080195)". The record is from RNAcentral. Lineage: Eukaryota; Viridiplantae; Streptophyta; Magnoliopsida; Arecales; Arecaceae.